RNAcentral lists this ribosomal RNA (788 nucleotides) under uncultured bacterium. RNAcentral describes it as "bacterial SSU rRNA". It matches the Rfam family "Bacterial small subunit ribosomal RNA", at positions 8 to 796 of the family's 1533-position model. The record is from RNAcentral.
AGAGUUUGAUCAUGGCUCAGGACGAACGCUGGCGGCGUGCUUAACACAUGCAAGUCGAACGGAAAGGUCUCUUCGGGGAUACUCGAGUGGCGAACGGGUGAGUAACACGUGGGUGAUCUGCCCUGCACUUCGGGAUAAGCUUGGGAAACUGGGUCUAAUACCGGAUAGGACUCCGAAUCGCAUGGUUUGGGGUGGAAAGUUUGUAACGGUGUGGGAUGGGCCCGCGGCCUAUCAGCUUGUUGGUGGGGUGAUGGCCUACCAAGGCGACGACGGGUAGCCGGCCUGAGAGGGUGUCCGGCCACACUGGGACUGAGAUACGGCCCAGACUCCUACGGGAGGCAGCAGUGGGGAAUAUUGCACAAUGGGCGCAAGCCUGAUGCAGCGACGCCGCGUGGGGGAUGACGGCCUUCGGGUUGUAAACCUCUUUCACCAUCGGCGAAGCCGGGGGCUUUUGUUUCCGGUGACGGUAGGUGGAGAAGAAGCACCGGCCAACUACGUGCCAGCAGCCGCGGUAAUACGUAGGGUGCGAGCGUUGUCCGGAAUUACUGGGCGUAAAGAGCUCGUAGGUGGUUUGUCGCGUUGUCCGUGAAAUUCCCUGGCUUAACUGGGGGCGUGCGGGCGAUACGGGCAGACUGGAGUACUGCAGGGGAGACUGGAAUUCCUGGUGUAGCGGUGGAAUGCGCAGAUAUCAGGAGGAACACCGGUGGCGAAGGCGGGUCUCUGGGCAGUAACUGACGCUGAGGAGCGAAAGCGUGGGGAGCGAACAGGAUUAGAUACCCCCGUAGUCC